CCACUACACUUACCAGAUAACGCACUCUUUGCAUCAUAUGUAUCAAUCGAAAGCUCUGAAGAAAGCACUCUCCUCCACAAAGCUUUGAAGAAGGAAGAACACAGCUCAAUCGAAAGCUCUCUUCUCCACCAUCACCAAAUUAUAUGGUUUCCACAUAUUACAUAGUUCCUUCAUGAACUAUGGUGCAAACACUAACUUGGUUCUCUUCAGCCACUAACUUUGGCUCUCUUCAAAGCAAAUAUCUGAGACUCAUCUGAGAAUUUUUUCUUGAUGCUCUGAUUUCUUUAAUUUUGCUUCUCAAGCAGAUAUUCAGGCACUUUCAGGUUGAAACACCAUUGACCUUCAACCGCUGAUUAUGGACAACAUUACUAUUUUUGGUCACAUGGAUGGAGACCUACGUCGAACUGUCCAAUUUCUUCAAGAAAGAAAUGUUAAUGUUGUUAUCCGUGAUAAGCGUGACCUUUAAUGUCAUCCGUGUUCGAGAGGCAAAAGAAAAGGAAAUUGCCAAGGCAUUGUUGAAGAAAAACGAAAAUACCACCAUUUCGGGCAAGGGAAAGGAAAAUACAUGUUCAGUAGUAUGGCUCUUCAAUAUUUCCAUUUAAAGUUCUUUUUUUGAAAUAUUUAUUUUGGACCAUGAACCUUGAUUAUUUAUUUUUAUUUUCUUAAAUGUAAAAUUGACAUACUGCUUGCACAGUGACAUAUACUGUUCUUAUAGUAAACAGUUUCAUAUAAAUUUGUGAAAUGUUUUUUUUGAAGCAUGCUAAAAUAAUAAUUGUACAAAAACAUUAUAUUUGUUUUAAAUUAUUAUUAUUCUUUUUGGAUUUUUGCUAUUGACAUUAACAUCUACAAGAGAAGAAAAAAGGAAUAGAACAAAAAAGGAAUGAGGGGAGGAGGAAUACAGAAUGAAAAAGUUUUCAAUUUUUUUACAAAAUAUCAGAAGGAAAGGGAAUUAAGAUAAAGUAAAUUAAUAGAAAUGAAAAAUGAAGAGAAAAGUAUAAAAUAGUAGAUGAUAAUAUUCAUAUUUUAGGCA
This is a non-coding RNA of Camellia sinensis, 1030 nucleotides long. The record is from RefSeq and is a predicted model, not a curated record. NCBI's taxonomy places the organism in Eukaryota, Viridiplantae, Streptophyta, Magnoliopsida, Ericales, Theaceae.